Molecule: long non-coding RNA, 370 nt
Organism: Contarinia nasturtii (swede midge)
Lineage: Eukaryota; Metazoa; Arthropoda; Insecta; Diptera; Cecidomyiidae
Exons: 2
Source: RefSeq, a predicted model, not a curated record
CAUUUAGCCGUUACAUACGUACGCCCAAAAUACGUUAUAUUACAAUAAUACUACAAAAAAAUCGAUUGAUAGAAAUAAAAGGUAUUUGAACUUCUCUACGGCUCACGUGAUUCGCGCACCAUCUAAAUUAAUCGGUGUUUAAAGCUUGUUCUCGAUGUGAUAAAGAACGCAAGAAAACGUGAGCAUCUAGGUUUGAAGAUGUGAACAUUUAUGGAAGAAUCGUACCGAGGAUAAUGAGGCCGUAUCUCCUACACACAGUGAUUAAUAAAACAUAAGUUUCAACAUGUUUUACGAAAAAAAAGUCACACUGAAUUUCCUAUACAAUGUAAUUCUCAAAAAUAAACUGCGUGUUUUUUUUUUUUUAAUUACA